Molecule: transfer RNA, 74 nt
Filed under: Streptomyces anulatus
Lineage: Bacteria; Bacillati; Actinomycetota; Actinomycetes; Kitasatosporales; Streptomycetaceae
Also listed under: 6 other names
Description: tRNA-Arg
Rfam family: tRNA
About the family: Transfer RNA (tRNA) molecules are approximately 80 nucleotides in length. Their secondary structure includes four short double-helical elements and three loops (D, anti-codon, and T loops). Further hydrogen bonds mediate the characteristic L-shaped molecular structure. tRNAs have two regions of fundamental functional importance: the anti-codon, which is responsible for specific mRNA codon recognition, and the 3' end, to which the tRNAs corresponding amino acid is attached (by aminoacyl-tRNA synthetases). tRNAs cope with the degeneracy of the genetic code in two manners: having more than one tRNA (with a specific anti-codon) for a particular amino acid; and 'wobble' base-pairing, i.e. permitting non-standard base-pairing at the 3rd anti-codon position.
Source: RNAcentral
GCCUCCGUAGCUCAGGGGAUAGAGCACAGCUCUCCUAAAGCUGGUGUCGCAGGUUCGAAUCCUGCCGGGGGCAC